UACUUUGGGCCUCUAUAGCACUGUUCGUGUUUUUCUUACUUCGAUCGUUUGUUCUUCAGUGGUCGAACCUCAUCUUGCGUCGGUGUUCAACUACUCGAACAACGGGAUUGGACUGUGUUCGAUUCAAGACGACCUCCUAAAUCCGAUCUAUAGUGCGAUUCCUGAAUUCUCGGAUUGGAGCUCUUGGAUCUAAGGGUUGACUUUGGGCUUACUCUUUCACCAAGUCACAAGCUCAUCUCCAACUCUUUGAUAGCCAUUUAUAACGUCCAGAGGUUUUUAAAAGGCUCCCUAGACCUUAAGAACGAAGUGCUAACUAUUAUUCUAAAAGUUUGUAACAGAGGUCUAGGGUGUGGAUCUUAAUACUACCAUGGCAAAAGUCAAACUCAUGACAGUUAAGGAAAUUAGGGUGCUACGCUGAUAGCUUAAGGCAUGAUGUUGAGGACUCCCAGCUGCAAAAGCCUAUCAACUUAUCGUAAACUUCAGGGUUUCAGGAUGAAGUUGCAAGAAUCUUGUCAGCUUUAACGUUGCAGCUGAUAAUAUUUUAUGUGUUUUCAUUGUUUACUUAUUUCAUAUUUUCUUAGAGUUAGUUGUUUUUCAAGUACAAAUGAGAGUUUCCCUUUUGUAUAUGAGGAAAAAUUAAUACUUUGUAUCAUUGAUAGAAUACUUCUAGGAUUCAAGAGAAUGGACUCGUUGUGAAGUCUUUCUUAGCUAAGGUAAAAACAAAUUCUAGCUUAGCUGAUCAAAUUUUGCAUUUUUAAGAA
Long non-coding RNA from Neltuma alba, 761 nucleotides. RefSeq lists it as uncharacterized. Lineage: Eukaryota; Viridiplantae; Streptophyta; Magnoliopsida; Fabales; Fabaceae. The transcript has 3 exons. The record is from RefSeq and is a predicted model, not a curated record.